CUACGGGUGGCUGCAGUGGGGAAUAUUGCGCAAUGGAGGAAACUCUGACGCAGCAACGCCGUGUGAGCGAGGAAGGCCUUCGGGUUGUAAAGCUCUGUCAGAUGGGAAGAAAAAGCGAGGGUCUAAUAGGCCUUCGAACUGACGGUACCAUCGGAGGAAGCACCGGCUAACUUCGUGCCAGCAGCCGCGGUAAUACGAAGGGUGCAAGCGUUGUUCGGAUUUAUUGGGCGUAAAGCGCGCGCAGGCGGAUGAUUAAGUCAGAUGUGAAAUCUCGGGGCUCAACCCCGAAACUGCGUCUGAAACUGGUCAUCUAGAAUCUCGGAGAGGGAGGUGGAAUUUCGCAUGUAGGGGUAAAAUCCGUAGAGAUGCGAAGGAACACCAGAGGCGAAGGCGACCUCCUGGACGAGUAUUGACGCUGAGGCGCGAAAGCGUGGGGAGCAAACAGGAUUAGAUACCCGAGUAGUC
This 465-nucleotide ribosomal RNA is filed under the name uncultured bacterium. Its description in RNAcentral is "partial 16S ribosomal RNA". It matches the Rfam family "Bacterial small subunit ribosomal RNA", at positions 339 to 795 of the family's 1533-position model. The record is from RNAcentral.